AGAGUUUGAUCAUGGCUCAGAUUGAACGCUGGCGGCAGGCCUAACACAUGCAAGUCGAACGGUAACAGGAAGAAGCUUGCUUCUUUGCUGACGAGUGGCGGACGGGUGAGUAAUGUCUGGGAAACUGCCUGAUGGAGGGGGAUAACUACUGGAAACGGUAGCUAAUACCGCAUAACGUCGCAAGACCAAAGAGGGGGACCUUCGGGCCUCUUGCCAUCGGAUGUGCCCAGAUGGGAUUAGCUAGUAGGUGGGGUAACGGCUCACCUAGGCGACGAUCCCUAGCUGGUCUGAGAGGAUGACCAGCCACACUGGAACUGAGACACGGUCCAGACUCCUACGGGAGGCAGCAGUGGGGAAUAUUGCACAAUGGGCGCAAGCCUGAUGCAGCCAUGCCGCGUGUAUGAAGAAGGCCUUCGGGUUGUAAAGUACUUUCAGCGGGGAGGAAGGGAGUAAAGUUAAUACCUUUGCUCAUUGACGUUACCCGCAGAAGAAGCACCGGCUAACUCCGUGCCAGCAGCCGCGGUAAUACGGAGGGUGCAAGCGUUAAUCGGAAUUACUGGGCGUAAAGCGCACGCAGGCGGUUUGUUAAGUCAGAUGUGAAAUCCCCGGGCUCAACCUGGGAACUGCAUCUGAUACUGGCAAGCUUGAGUCUCGUAGAGGGGGGUAGAAUUCCAGGUGUAGCGGUGAAAUGCGUAGAGAUCUGGAGGAAUACCGGUGGCGAAGGCGGCCCCCUGGACGAAGACUGACGCUCAGGUGCGAAAGCGUGGGGAGCAAACAGGAUUAGAUACCCUGGUAGUCCACGCCGUAAACGAUGUCGACUUGGAGGUUGUGCCCUUGAGGCGUGGCUUCCGGAGCUAACGCGUUAAAGUCGACCGCCUGGGGAGUACGGCCGCAAGGUUAAACUCAAAUGAAUUGACGGGGGCCCGCACAAGCGGUGGAGCAUGUGGUUUAAUUCGAUGCAACGCGAAGAACCUUACCUGGUCUUGACAUCCACGGAAGUUUUCAGAGAUGAGAAUGUGCCUUCGGGAACCGUGAGACAGGUGCUGCAUGGCUGUCGUCAGCUCGUGUUGUGAAAUGUUGGGUUAAGUCCCGCAACGAGCGCAACCCUUAUCCUUUGUUGCCAGCGGUCCGGCCGGGAACUCAAAGGAGACUGCCAGUGAUAAACUGGAGGAAGGUGGGGAUGACGUCAAGUCAUCAUGGCCCUUACGACCAGGGCUACACACGUGCUACAAUGGCGCAUACAAAGAGAAGCGACCUCGCGAGAGCAAGCGGACCUCAUAAAGUGCGUCGUAGUCCGGAUUGGAGUCUGCAACUCGACUCCAUGAAGUCGGAAUCGCUAGUAAUCGUGGAUCAGAAUGCCACGGUGAAUACGUUCCCGGGCCUUGUACACACCGCCCGUCACACCAUGGGAGUGGGUUGCAAAAGAAGUAGGUAGCUUAACCUUCGGGAGGGCGCUUACCACUUUGUGAUUCAUGACUGGGGUGAAGUCGUAACAAGGUAACCGUAGGGGAACCUGCGGUUGGAUCACCU
Molecule: ribosomal RNA, 1530 nt
Filed under: Escherichia coli DEC13E
Lineage: Bacteria; Pseudomonadati; Pseudomonadota; Gammaproteobacteria; Enterobacterales; Enterobacteriaceae
Description: bacterial SSU rRNA
Rfam family: Bacterial small subunit ribosomal RNA
Source: RNAcentral